CUAAGGCUAAAUACUCUCUAGUGACCGAUAGUGAACCAGUACCGUGAGGGAAAGGUGAAAAGUACCCCGGAAGGGGAGUGAAAGAGAACUUGAAACCGUGUGCUUACAAGUAGUCAGAGCCCGUUAAUGGGUGAUGGCGUGCCUUUUGUAGAAUGAACCGGCGAGUUACGAUCUGAUGCAAGGUUAAGCAGAAAAUGUGGAGCCGUAGCGAAAGCGAGUCUGAAUAGGGCGAAUGAGUAUUUGGUCGUAGACCCGAAACCAGGUGAUCUACCCUUGGUCAGGUUGAAGUUCAGGUAACACUGAAUGGAGGACCGAACCGACUUACGUUGAAAAGUGAGCGGAUGAACUGAGGGUAGCGGAGAAAUUCCAAUCGAACUUGGAGAUAGCUGGUUCUCUCCGAAAUAGCUUUAGGGCUAGCCUCAAGUGAUGAUUAUUGGAGGUAGAGCACUGUUUGGACGAGGGGCCCCUCUCGGGUUACCGAAUUCAGACAAACUCCGAAUGCCAAAUAAUUUAACUUGGGAGUCAGAAUGUGGGUGAUAAGGUCCAUAUUCGAAAGGGAAACAGCCCAGACCACCAGCUAAGGUCCCAAAAUAUAUGUUAAGUGGAAAAGGAUGUGGCGUUGCCCAGACAACUAGGAUGUUGGCUUAGAAGCAGCCAUCAUUUAAAGAGUGCGUAAUAGCUCACUAGUCGAGUGACACUGCGCCGAAAAUGUACCGGGGCUAAACAUAUUACCG
RNAcentral lists this ribosomal RNA (734 nucleotides) under Staphylococcus pseudintermedius. RNAcentral's name for it is "partial 23S ribosomal RNA". It matches the Rfam family "Bacterial large subunit ribosomal RNA", at positions 460 to 1196 of the family's 2925-position model. The record is from RNAcentral. Lineage: Bacteria; Bacillati; Bacillota; Bacilli; Caryophanales; Staphylococcaceae.